This 2713-nucleotide long non-coding RNA is filed under the name Homo sapiens (human). Its description in RNAcentral is "HSALNT0070913". The record is from RNAcentral. Lineage: Eukaryota; Metazoa; Chordata; Mammalia; Primates; Hominidae.
AACCAUGUUACCGGUGUGAUAUGGUUUAGAUGUGUCCCCACCGAAAUCUCAACUUGAAUUGUAUCUCCCAGAAUUCCCACGUAUUGUGGGAGGGAGCCAGAGGGAGGUAAUUAAAUCACUGGCCGGUCCUUCCCCUGCUAUUCUCGCGAUAGUGAAUAAGUCUCAUGAGAUCUGAUGGGUUUAUCAGGGGUUUCCGCUUUCGGUUCUUCCUCAUUUUCUCUUGCUGCCGCAAUGUAAGAAGAGCCAUACGCCUCCCGCCAUGAUUCUGAGACCUCCACAGCGAUGUGGAACUUGCCGAAUAAUAUUUCAUUUUCUGGAUAUACCUCACUUUAUCUACUUGCUACAGAAGGGCAUCCUGCUUACUUUAAAGUUUUGGCAAUUAGGAAUAAAGCUGCUAUAAGCAUCCAGUCCUGCAGGUUGAAAAAUCCAAGAUCAUGGCACUGGCAGGUUUUGUGUCUGCUGAGGGCCUGAUCUUCACUUCCAAGAUGGUGGCUCGAGUGCUGCCUUCUCCAGGAUACAGGAAUACUGUUCCUCACAUGGAAGAAGUGAAAGAUCAAUGAAUCCACUCUUGCAAGCCAAUUUUUGCUCUGUUUGUUUGUUUUUGAGACAAGGUCUCACUCUGUCACCCUAGAGGUUGGAGUGCAGUGGCACAAUCUCUUCUCCCUGCGACCUCCACUUCCCUGCUCAAGUGAUCCUCCCACCUCAGCCUCCCAAAUAACUGGAACUACAAGCGAUGACUACCAAAAAAUGUCUAAUUUGUUUGUUUGUUUGUUUUUGCUAGAGACUGGCUUUUGCUAUGUCAGCCAGGCUGGUCUCGAACUCCCAGGCUCAGCCUAUCCACCUGCCUGGGUCUCCCAAAGAGCUUGGAUUAUAGACAUGACCCACUGCAUCCAGCCACAAGCCCAUUUUAUAAUGGCAUUAUUCCAUUCAUGAGGUCAGAGCCCUUGUGACCUGAACUCUUAUCCUUAGGCCACAAAUUCUAAUGCUGUUGCAUUAGGAAUUAACUUUCUGACACAUGAAUUUUAAGGAAGACAAAAACAUUCAAACUACAGCAGAUUUUAUUCUAUAUGUAAUUGUUCAAGAAAGUGAAUUACUGUACAUGAAUAUAAGGAGUUUUUUCACUAAGAACUCUCAAAAUAGUAAAAACAGAGGAAUAAAAACAGAACAAGGGUAACUGAGACUAAACUAGCAAGACACCUUCAAAGAAGCCACAAUAGUUCAGAGAACUAAAACAUGGAUUCAAGAUUUAUGGAAACUUAAAAAAAAGAGCUUGACAAUUUUAUAAAGACUGAAUAGGAAUAUAAUUAAUCCAAGAAUUUCCUUUAUGGCCUGAAAGGUGACAUAAUAAUAAUACAAACAAACACUUAUGCAGCAUUUAUUAUGAACAGUGCUUUUCAAGAUCAUUUAAUUCUGUCAACAAUUCUGUGUAGCAAAUAAUAUGAUUUUUUUUAUAGAAGAGAAUAGGGGUGACAAGGGAAGCAUGGUGGCUGAUUAUUAACAUUACACUGGAAUCUUCCACAGAGUAAAAUAUUGUGUGUAAACAAGCAAAGAUAUUUGAGUUACAGAUUUAAUUCAAUACUUUAGUGUUGCAUGAUAUCUUAAUGAAGGAAACCCAAAAUUCUGUAAUCAAGAAAGAUAAAUUUUAAUGCUUCAUAGAUAGAUUUAUUAUUCAAAAGAUUAAUACAACAAUAUGUUGGCCAAAUACAGCCCCCAUUGCAAAGUAGUAUUAACAAAUACGUGCAGAAAACUAACACUUUACCCACAUACAUUGAUUUAGAUUUUUUCCAGAAAGUUUAAUUUCAUAUAAAUAUUUUACCACUUUAUAUUAGGUUGCUCCAAAAGUAAUUCUGGUUUUUGCUAAUAGGUAUGAAUUUUCAGUCGAAUAUUUGCAAGGAAUACUAGAUUCUGCAACUAAUGCUUUAUAGGGAAAAUAGUCACUAACAUAGAAGAACAAAAACUCUAUUUUAAAGUUAGCCCAUAUGUCUGACUCUUCAAAAAAAUUUUUACUACUGCACUGACAGGUGAAAUUUCUUUCGUGCUGGGGGGAUGUAGGGGAAAGAAUCACAAAGUUUUUACAGAUUUAUUUCCUUUCCAGAUUCUAUUUGCAAAGCAAGGCUUACAAAAGUUUUUUAAUAUAGAUUUAAGUUUUCCAUGAUAGUGGGAAAGUUUUCAAGAUAGCUCUAUAAACAUAAUCUCCUAAAUCUGAUGAGUCUCUGCUAGACAUGAAAAAAAAUACAUUGUCUUUCACAUCUUUCUGUGCUAAGAAUUUAGGCUGCAAAGAAAAUUUAAAGGCGAAAUUCUUAUGUGAACUUAUUUAUUCUAUAUAAUUAUUAGACUUCAUUUUGUCUAAUCAUUAUUGAUCAUUUAAUAAAAUCAGUUGGGGAUAAAAUAAUUCUCUAUGUCUCAUUGGUUUUCUGUGCUAUUUUACUCUACAUUCAAUAAAAAGAAAAAUAUAUAAAUAACAUUUAUCACAUACUCCAUUAAGUCUAACAUAUGCUAGCAGAGCACACUGCAGUCAAAUUGUGUAUGUCUGUGUAAAAUUGGUGCUGUUCCUUCACUAAAAAACAUCUAGUAAAUGAAACUAUAGUCCAACAAGUAGACUUAUUUUGGCUUUGCAUUGAAAUGAAACAAGCGUACAGAUUCUAAAUUCACAGUCCUUUUUGGCUAAAAAGUCCACACUUUAUAAUUAAUGCAUUAUUUUGGUUUAUGUUGC